UGGGGAAUAUUGGACAAUGGGCGCAAGCCUGAUCCAGCCAUGCCGCGUGAGUGAUGAAGGCCCUAGGGUUGUAAAGCUCUUUCACCGGUGAAGAUAAUGACGGUAACCGGAGAAGAAGCCCCGGCUAACUUCGUGCCAGCAGCCGCGGUAAUACGAAGGGGGCUAGCGUUGUUCGGAUUUACUGGGCGUAAAGCGCACGUAGGCGGACUUUUAAGUCAGGGGUGAAAUCCCGGGGCUCAACCCCGGAACUGCCUUUGAUACUGGAAGUCUUGAGUAUGGUAGAGGUGAGUGGAAUUCCGAGUGUAGAGGGGAAAUUCGUAGAUAUUCGGAGGAACACCAGUGGCGAGGGCGGCUCACUGGACCAUUACUGACGCUGAGGUGCGAAAGCGUGGGGAGCAAACAGG
This 404-nucleotide ribosomal RNA is filed under the name Actinomycetes bacterium. RNAcentral's name for it is "Actinobacteria bacterium partial 16S ribosomal RNA". It matches the Rfam family "Bacterial small subunit ribosomal RNA", at positions 355 to 776 of the family's 1533-position model. The record is from RNAcentral. Lineage: Bacteria; Bacillati; Actinomycetota; Actinomycetes.